Molecule: ribosomal RNA, 442 nt
Filed under: uncultured Bacteroidota bacterium
Lineage: Bacteria; Pseudomonadati; Bacteroidota
Description: bacterial SSU rRNA
Rfam family: Bacterial small subunit ribosomal RNA
Source: RNAcentral
GAUGAACGCUAGCGGCAGGCCUAAUACAUGCAAGUCGAACGGUAAGGUCUCUUCGGAGAUACACGAGUGGCGAACGGGUGCGUAACGCGUAUGCAACCUACCUUGAACUGAGGAAUAGCCCAGAGAAAUCUGGAUUAAUACUUCAUAUCAAUAUGAUCUGGCAUCAGAUUAUAUUUAAAGCUUCGGCGGUUUAAGAUGGGCAUGCGUGACAUUAGUUUGUUGGUGAGGUAACGGCUCACCAAGACAUCGAUGUCUAGGGGUUCUGAGAGGAUUUUCCCCCACACUGGUACUGAGACACGGACCAGACUCCUACGGGAGGCAGCAGUAAGGAAUAUUGGUCAAUGGACGAAAGUCUGAACCAGCCAUGCCGCGUGCAGGAUGACAGCCCUAUGGGUCGUAAACUGCUUUUAUAUGGGAAGAAACCCCACUACGUGUAGUGGGC